Molecule: unclassified non-coding RNA, 316 nt
Filed under: uncultured fungus
Lineage: Eukaryota; Fungi
Description: partial contains small subunit ribosomal RNA, internal transcribed spacer 1, and 5.8S ribosomal RNA
Rfam family: Eukaryotic small subunit ribosomal RNA (bases 1-73)
Source: RNAcentral
GCAAACUUGGUCAUUUAGAGGAAGUAAAAGUCGUAACAAGGUCUCCGUAGGUGAACCUGCGGAGGGAUCAUUACCGAGUUCGUGCCCCGCCGCGGGGUAGAUCUCCCACCCUUGUGUAUCUUCGUGCCGUUCUGUUGCUUUGGCAGGCCGCCCAGGGCUGCGGCCCGGGCCACCGGCUCCCCCCGAGGGGGGCGGGUGCGCGCCUGCCAGAGGACCCUCCAAACUCGUGUUUGUCAGUGUCGUCCGAGUACUAUAACCAAUCGUUAAAACUUUCAACAACGGAUCUCUUGGUUCUGGCAUCGAUGAAGAACGCAGC